This 254-nucleotide ribosomal RNA is filed under the name uncultured bacterium. Its description in RNAcentral is "partial 16S ribosomal RNA". It matches the Rfam family "Bacterial small subunit ribosomal RNA", at positions 524 to 776 of the family's 1533-position model. The record is from RNAcentral.
UACGGAGGGUGCAAGCGUUAUCCGGAUUCACUGGGUUUAAAGGGUGUGUAGGCGGGUCUGUAAGUCAGUGGUGAAAUCUCCGAGCUCAACUUGGAAACUGCCAUUGAUACUAUAGAUCUUGAAUUUUGUUGAGGUAGGCGGAAUAUGUCAUGUAGCGGUGAAAUGCAUAGAUAUGACAUAGAACACCGACUUGCGAAGGCAGCUUACUAAGCAAAUAUUGACGCUGAGGCACGAAAGCGUGGGGAUCAAACAGG